Molecule: ribosomal RNA, 497 nt
Filed under: uncultured bacterium
Lineage: Bacteria
Description: partial 16S ribosomal RNA
Rfam family: Bacterial small subunit ribosomal RNA
Source: RNAcentral
GACGAACGCUGGCGGCGUGCCUAAUACAUGCAAGUUGAGCGCUGAAGGUUGGUACUUGUACCAACUGGAUGAGCAGCGAACGGGUGAGUAACGCGUGGGUAGUCUGCCUUUGAGCGGGGGACAACAUUUGGAAACGAAUGCUAAUACCGCAUAAAAACUUUAAACACAAGUUUUAAGUUUGAAAGAUGCAAUUGCAUCACUCAAAGAUGAUCCCGCGUUGUAUUAGCUAGUUGGUGAGGUAAAGGCUCACCAAGGCGAUGGUACAUAGCCGACCUGAGAGGGUGAUCGGCCACAUUGGGACUGAGACACGGCCCAAACUCCUACGGGAGGCAGCAGUAGGGAAUCUUCGGCAAUAGACGAAAGUCUGACCGAGCAACGCCGCGUGAGUGAAGAAGGUUUUCGGAUCGUAAAACUCUGUUGGUAGAGAAGAACGUUGGUGAGAGUGGAAAGCUCAUCAAGUGACGGUAACUACCCAGAAAGGGACGGCUAACUACGUG